UAAGAAUAUUCCGCAAUGGACGAAAGUCUGACGGAGCGACGCCGCGUGGAUGAAGAAGGCCGUGAGGUUGUAAAAUCCUUUUGCUGAUGAAGAAUAAGUAUGGUAGGGAAUGACCGUAUGAUGACAUUAGUCGGUGAAUAAGCCCCGGCUAAUUACGUGCCAGCAGCCGCGGUAACACGUAAGGGGCAAGCGUUGUUCGGAAUUAUUGGGCGUAAAGGGCAUGUAGGCGGUUUCGUAAGCCUGGUGUGAAAGGCUGCAGCUUAACUGUAGCAUUGCAUUGGGUACUGCGAGACUUGAAUCACGGAGGGGAAACUAGAAUUCCAGGUGUAGGGGUGGAAUCUGUAGAUAUCUGGAAGAAUACUGAUGGCGAAGGCGGGUUUCUGGCCGAUGAUUGACGCUGAGGUGCGAAAGUGCGGGGAGCAAAC
This 425-nucleotide ribosomal RNA is filed under the name uncultured bacterium. RNAcentral describes it as "bacterial SSU rRNA". It matches the Rfam family "Bacterial small subunit ribosomal RNA", at positions 356 to 773 of the family's 1533-position model. The record is from RNAcentral.